CAGCCGUAAACAAUGUGCGUUAGGUAUGUCGGUAACCACGUGUUACUGAUGUGCCGAAGAGAAAUCGUGAAACGCACCACCUGGGAAGUACGGUCGCAAGGAUGAAACUUAAAGGAAUUGGCGGGGGGAGCACCGCAACGGGAGGAACGUGCGGUUUAAUUGGAUUCAACACCGGAAACUCACCAGCAGCGACUGUUACAUGAAAGUCAGGCCGAUGACCUUACUAGAUUUUCAGAGAGGUGGUGCAUGGCGUCAGUGACU
This 261-nucleotide ribosomal RNA is filed under the name uncultured archaeon. RNAcentral describes it as "partial 16S ribosomal RNA". It matches the Rfam family "Archaeal small subunit ribosomal RNA", at positions 748 to 1008 of the family's 1478-position model. The record is from RNAcentral.